UUGCUGCACCCUGACAUUGACUAACAGAGGGACGCCACAGCUCGGCUGCCAGGUGGCUGUCCCCACAUGCAUCCUGACGGCAGACCAGCUGAGGCUCAGACGUCCUCGCUUCCUUCCCCAAGCUGUGGAUUGGAGCCCAGCUGAGGGUCAGGCUUUGCUCACAGACCGGCCACUCAACCGCAGUCUUGCUCAACCCCCCGGCCACUGCGGCUCCUGCACGUGGAAGGUGCUGCUGAACAUCGUGCGGAGAUUAUAAAUCCUCGGCAACUCAGGUUCCUGGCUUUCAGCUUAACAAUAAUCACCUGUACUCCAAGCCUUCUAAAAUGCCAGGCACCAGGCUCAUCCCAUCACAAACACCCUCCUGCCAUCCUCAGAACAGCGGGAGGUUCACCCCUCUCCUUGCCGAGUGCAGCACAGUUCUCAGGUGAGGAUAAAAUAAAAAUAAGCUUCAAGGAAGAAAAUGAUGCCAACAGUAUGGUGUCAUUUGCAAGAAAUGAUGCCACAGGCCUCUGAUCUCACACUGGGAAACGGAAGCACUCGUCCCAUAGCCAGGUCUGGAUUCUGGGCUCCACAUCAAGGCAUCAGGAACUGGGAGAGGCGGACCCGUCUUCCCUCACAGGUGACGUCAUCCAUGCUCUAGGCAGUCUGCCCUUGUGGGAGGUGCCUGUCCCAUGGUCGCCUUGAAAACCUGUCUCUGCAAUUGUCAUUUGAAGCUCUCCUCCCUCGCAACUAGACAAACACUGGGUGGAGGAGAGAGAAACACGGGCACUACCUUAAAACUACAAGCCUGAUGUCCCUGCCACAAAAAUUCCUUCCACUUGAAGGAAGCGUGGCUGGCUCCGCCUCCUGCCCUUCAUUCCUCACACCUCAGGACAGGAGGGAGGAGAUCCUAUUGUUUGGUUAGGUCAGGCGCGCAGUACUUUUCACAUUUCCAUUUACAGAUGAGGGACAGCGGCCCAGAUGUGGAUGUGGCCUGCCCACAGUCGCUCAGCAGCCAGCGGCCACACUGAGAAGGGAAACCAGUUGUCUGGGGCGGGGUCAGUGUGUCUCUGCUGUCAGGUGUGAAUCUGUUUUUGUUUUAAGAGGCAGGCAGCGGAAGAGAAACUGGCCGACCCAAGCCUGUAUUUCCAUCCACCCACUGGUCUUCCUCCUCCUUUAUGUAAAGAGGUUUGAUUUUGUUCCAACAAAUAAGGAAGAUUCUGAGAUGACUAUAGAACCUUGCAUUUUGAUUUUAACAGAUUUCUCAAGCUCAAGUGUCACAAGGCAGUUCUUAAGAAAAAGACCAGCAUCCUCACGACAGUCAGUGAAAGAGAAAAUAGAAGAGGAAAGCAUUGAAAUAUUUCUUAUUUCAGAGAGUUUCCCCCAACUAAUGAACACCAGUUUAUAUGUUGGAAGGACUAUCUGAGUGUCCAUCACAGAAGAUGACAGGCUACGUUAUCUGGAACGGUGAUGUUUCUAAAACAUUGUGGAUAAAGAGCACAGUCCGAAAAGCUUCUAAAAAGAGGCGGGCGGGCGGGGCGCUCAAGGUCAGAUACAGAGGAGCAGGCGUCAGGAGGACUUGGGUUUCUCAAUAGUAACCCUGGAAGCUAGAACAUACGGACCCUUGCUUUCAAUAUUCUGUGCUAAAAGCAUUUUCAACCUAGAAUUUUACAUUUGGUCAAACUCUCAAGCAAGUACAUUUUCUGACAAGCCAGGUCUUAAAUAUUUGCCACCUCCUGAGAGAUGCUGAGAAUGGCCAGCUAACCUCCAUAUUUGGCUGAAGCCCAAAGCCACCAUCAUCCAAUGAGCUUUUGAGACACGUGACUACAUCAGAAAUUUUAUUUUUAAAGAAGACUACUUAUUAUGUUUUCAAUAUUCCAAGUUUCAGAGGUUGGUCUUUAAAGUUUGGAGUUAGAACCAGUAGCCAUCAUUUGUCAGCACUGGAAGCGGCUCGCUGACGCCUGUGGUCAUUGUGUUUGUCACACACAGAUGCCCACUUCCCGCUCCGGUUUGGGGGCAGGGUGGGGGGGAGAGAGGUAUUUUUAGUGUCUCCUUGCCAGUACUGCGGAGUUAUUCUUUUCUUUUCUCCACAUAACUAAGGUAAUGUUUAUUUCGUUUUCAACUCCUACUUAGAGAUUUGGUUGCUGAUGAAGAUGCUACUUAACUGAAGUUCUGUACUGUUGGAAUAUCUUCAUAACGAAACUUUAGAUUUUUGUUCUGACACCAAUUUGUACUUUUUGAAACCUUGGAUAAACAGGUGUGGAAAUAAAGUAACAAGACUAGCUUUCAGAAUAACAAUUUAUAAAUUUCCAUCUGCGUCGGAGAUUUUAUUGCCCGCAUGCCAAAUUCAGCAUUUUCCCUAGAGAAGAAAGAAAGGGGGGGUCU
Molecule: long non-coding RNA, 2364 nt
Organism: Myotis daubentonii (Daubenton's bat)
Lineage: Eukaryota; Metazoa; Chordata; Mammalia; Chiroptera; Vespertilionidae
Source: RefSeq, a predicted model, not a curated record